GCUUGUCUCAAAGAUUAAGCCAUGCAUGUCUAAGUAUAAACAAAUUUAUAGUGAAACUGCGAAUGGCUCAUUAUAUCAGUUAUAGUUUAUUUGGCGAUAAAAACUACUUGGAUAACCGUAGUAAUUCUAGAGCUAAUACAUGCAUCAUCCCCCAUCUCGGGGUGUAUUUAUUAGAUAAAGCCAACGCUGGGUAAAACCAGUUUCCCUUGGUGAUUCAUAAUAAUUAAGCGGAUCGCAUGGCCUUGUGCUAGCGACAGUCCACUCGAUUUUCUGCCCUAUCAUGGUUGAGAUUGUAAGAUAGAGGCUUACAAUGCCUACAACGGGUAACGGGGAAUUAGGGUUCGAUUCCGGAGAGGGAGCCUGAGAAACGGCUACCACAUCCAAGGAAGGCAGCAGG
Molecule: ribosomal RNA, 397 nt
Filed under: uncultured Mucor
Lineage: Eukaryota; Fungi; Mucoromycota; Mucoromycetes; Mucorales; Mucoraceae
Description: partial small subunit ribosomal RNA
Rfam family: Eukaryotic small subunit ribosomal RNA
Source: RNAcentral